This 23-nucleotide non-coding RNA is filed under the name Arabidopsis thaliana (thale cress). The record is from RNAcentral. Lineage: Eukaryota; Viridiplantae; Streptophyta; Magnoliopsida; Brassicales; Brassicaceae.
GGAGCCGCAUUGGUUGCCAUCGC